AUUGAACGCUGGCGGCAGGCCUAACACAUGCAAGUCGAGCGGUAGAGAGGUGCUUGCAUCUCUUGAGAGCGGCGGACGGGUGAGUAAUGCCUAGGAAUCUGCCUGGUAGUGGGGGAUAACGCUCGGAAACGGACGCUAAUACCGCAUACGUCCUACGGGAGAAAGCAGGGGACCUUCGGGCCUUGCGCUAUCAGAUGAGCCUAGGUCGGAUUAGCUAGUUGGUGAGGUAAUGGCUCACCAAGGCGACGAUCCGUAGCUGGUCUGAGAGGACGACCAGCCACACUGGGACUGAGACACGGCCCAGACUCCUACGGGAGGCAGCAGUGGGGAAUUUUGGACAAUGGGCGCAAGCCUGAUCCAGCAAUGCCGCGUGCAGGAUGAAGGCCUUGGUUGGUAAACUGCUUUGUUACGGAACGAAACGGUAGAGCUCUAAUUACAG
Molecule: ribosomal RNA, 439 nt
Filed under: uncultured bacterium
Lineage: Bacteria
Description: bacterial SSU rRNA
Rfam family: Bacterial small subunit ribosomal RNA
Source: RNAcentral